UACGUAGGGUGCAAGCGUUGUCCGGAAUUAUUGGGCGUAAAGAGCUCGUAGGCGGUUCGUCGCGUCGGCUGUGAAAUCCCGGAGCUCAACUCCGGGUCUGCAGUCCGAUACGGGCGGACUUGAGUACUGCAGGGGAGACUGGAAUUCCUGGUGUAGCGGUGAAAUGCGCAGAUAUCAGGAGGAACACCGGUGGCGAAGGCGGGUCUCUGGGCCAGUAACUGACGCUGAGGAGCGAAAGCGUGGGGAGCGAACAGG
Molecule: ribosomal RNA, 255 nt
Filed under: uncultured bacterium
Lineage: Bacteria
Description: partial 16S ribosomal RNA
Rfam family: Bacterial small subunit ribosomal RNA
Source: RNAcentral